GAUGAAGAACGCAGCGAAAUGCGAUACUUGGUGUGAAUUGCAGAAUCCCGUGAACCAUCGAGUCUUUGAACGCAAGUUGCGCCCGAAGCCAUUAGGCCGAGGGCACGCCUGCCUGGGCGUCACACGUCGUUGCCCCCCCAUCUACUCCUUCGGGAUUGCGGGGGGCGGAUGAUGGCCUCCCGUGCGCCUCAUCGCGCGGUUGGCAUAAAUGCCAAGUCCUCGGCGACGCACGCCACGACAAUCGGUGGUUGCGAAACCUCGGUUGCCCGUCGUGUGCGGUCGUCGCGCAUCGAGGGCUCGAAAAAAUUGCCGGGCUCCGGCUCGGCUUUCAACGCGACCCCAGGUCAGGCGGGGUUACCCGCUGAAUUUAAGCAUAUCAAUAAGCGGAGGA
Molecule: unclassified non-coding RNA, 391 nt
Filed under: soil metagenome
Description: partial contains 5.8S ribosomal RNA, internal transcribed spacer 2, and large subunit ribosomal RNA
Rfam family: 5.8S ribosomal RNA (bases 1-122)
Source: RNAcentral